This is a long non-coding RNA of Hermetia illucens (black soldier fly), 630 nucleotides long. RefSeq lists it as uncharacterized. NCBI's taxonomy places the organism in Eukaryota, Metazoa, Arthropoda, Insecta, Diptera, Stratiomyidae. The transcript has 3 exons. The record is from RefSeq and is a predicted model, not a curated record.
UGUUUGGAACAUAAUUUAUGUUCACAUUUAAUAAUCAAGAAAUGUUUGCAAAAAACCUGAUGACCUACGCCAAAGCGUAGCAUACGUGCUCAGAGAUAAUCAAUUGUUUCGCGUCAAGUAAAUUAAUUUACGCUGAUUGCGUUUCAUUAGUUUAACUUCCAAAUUGAUUAAUUUCCUUUGUUGCUGGACUAUCACCAUAUUCGCGACGUGAUUGAUUAAUCAAUCUCGAUUCUAAAUCGCACAGUACGUUUCACUUUUUGUCAUCAUCAUUGAUAAUUCGUGCAGUAGAGAACACAUUCCUCAAGUCACCGUAAACAUUUGGGGAAAGAUAGUUGUUCAGAAAAGUUUGCGUGAUGGAAUACAACGCAAAAAAUAAAGUUGAUCAUUUACAAAAAAACAACAACACGGAAUUUCCUGAUGAAAAGUUUUGUCUUUUCAUCGAAUUUUGAGAACAUAAAAAUGUAUCAUAAUAAGUGAGCAAGAUAAUAACUGUAAACCUAACAAAUACAUAUUCAUCAUUGUAUGAAACAAAAAAGAUACCAAAAGUUGUUCAAGUCAAUCUGAUAUUGAUAAACUCGCAAGAGACCGCAUGCUACUUUAAUACCACUGAUCAAUUAUAAUCAGAAAGAA